GACUGUUUUCUUGUUGACUGUUUUCUUGUUGACUGUUUUCUUGCUGACUGUUUUCUUGUUGACUGUUUUGGUGUUGACUGUUUAUGGUUGACUGUUUUCUUGUUGACUGAUUAUAGUUGACGUUUUCUUGCUGACUGUUUUCUUGUUGACUGUUAUCUUGCUGACUGUUUUUUGUUGACUGUUUUGGUGUUGACUGUUUAUGGUUGACUGUUUUCUUGUUGACUGAUUAUAGUUGACGUUUUCUUGCUGACUGUUUUCUUGUUGACUGUUAUCUUGCUGACUGUUUUUUGUUGACUGUUUUUUGUUGACUGUUUUCUUGUUGACUGUUUUUUGUUGGCUGUUUAUGGUUGACGUUUUCUUGCUGACUGUUUUCUUGUUGACUGUUUAUGGUUGACUGUUUUUUGCUGACUGUUUUCUUGUUGACUGAUUAUGGUUGACGUUUUCUUGCUGACUGUUUUCUUGUUGACUGAUUAUGGUUAACUGUUUUCUUGCCGACUGUUUUACGUUGACUGUUUUGUUGUUGACCAUUUUCUUGUUAACCGGUUUGGUGUUGACUGUUUUCUUGUUGACUGUUUUCUUGUUGACUGAUUAUAGUUUACGUUUUCUUGCUGACUGUUUUCUUGCUGACUGUUUUCUUGACUGUUUUCUUGUUGACUGUUUUCUUGUUGACUGUUUUCUUGUUGACUGUUUAUGGUUGACUGUUUUCUUGUUGACUGUUUUCUUGUUGACUGAUUAUGGUUAACUGUUUUCUUGCCGACUGUUUUAUGUUGACUGUUUUGGUGUUGACCGUUUUCCUGUUGACCGGUUUGGUGUUGACUGUUUUCUUGCUGACUGUUUUCUUGCUGACUGUUUAUGUUUGAGUGUUUUCUUGCUUGUGUCGGCAGUCGUGGCCAAAGGAGGAUUCAGACAAUUUUCCGAACUUUCUGGUUGGUUUCUACUGUCCGAUAUUGUAGCACGCUAACUUUGUUUGGGCUCCUGAACGACACGGGGGAGCAGCGUCUGCCUCACAACCAAUCAG
Xyrichtys novacula (pearly razorfish) is the source of this 1018-nucleotide non-coding RNA. The record is from the annotation of a GenBank genome assembly. NCBI's taxonomy places the organism in Eukaryota, Metazoa, Chordata, Actinopteri, Labriformes, Labridae.